UACGGAGGGUGCGAGCGUUAUUCGGAAUUACUGGGCGUAAAGGGUGCGCAGGCGGGUUUGCAAGACAGAUGUGAAAUCCCCGAGCUCAACCUGGGAACUGCAUUUGUGACUGCAAGGCUAGAGUACGGCAGAGGGGGAUGGAAUUUCGCGUGUAGCAGUGAAAUGCGUAGAUAUGCGGAAGAACACCAAUGGCGAAGGCAAUCCCCUGGGCCUGUACUGACGCUCAUGCACGAAAGCGUGGGGAGCAAACAGG
This 253-nucleotide ribosomal RNA is filed under the name uncultured bacterium. RNAcentral describes it as "partial 16S ribosomal RNA". It matches the Rfam family "Bacterial small subunit ribosomal RNA", at positions 524 to 776 of the family's 1533-position model. The record is from RNAcentral.